CGCUGGCGGCCGUGCCUAACACAUGCAAGUCGAACGCGAACGGGUCUUCGGACCCUAGUAGAGUGGCGCACGGGUGAGUAACACGUGGGCAAUCUACCCAGGGAUUUGGGAUAACCAGGGGAAACCCUGGCUAAUACCGAAUACGUCCAUGAGGCCUUCGGGUCCUCAUGGAGAAAGGUGGCCUCUUCCUCGAAAGCUACCACCGAAGGACUGAGCCUGCGUCCCAUCAGCUAGUUGGUAAGGUAAUGGCUUACCAAGGCGAAGACGGGUAGCUGGUUUGAGAGAAUGAUCAGCCACACUGGCACUGGAACACGGGCCAGACUCCUACGGGAGGCAGCAGUGAGGAAUAUUCGGGCAAUGGGCGAAAGCCUGACCCAGCCACGCCGCGUGAGUGAUGAAGGGCCCUCGGGUCGUAAAGCUCUGUGGAGAGGGACGAAAACCCUGGUUUCAAAUAGGCUCCAGGCUUGACGGUACCUCUUUAGCAAGCACCGGCUAACUCUGUG
This 503-nucleotide ribosomal RNA is filed under the name uncultured bacterium. Its description in RNAcentral is "bacterial SSU rRNA". It matches the Rfam family "Bacterial small subunit ribosomal RNA", at positions 34 to 507 of the family's 1533-position model. The record is from RNAcentral.